GACGAACGCUGGCGGCGUGCCUAAUACAUGCAAGUAGAACGCUGAAGGAGGAGCUUGCUUCUCUGGAUGAGUUGCGAACGGGUGAGUAACGCGUAGGUAACCUGCCUGGUAGCGGGGGAUAACUAUUGGAAACGAUAGCUACUACCGCAUAAGAGUAGAUGUUGCAUGACAUUUGCUUGAAAGUUGCACUUGCCUCGCUACCAGGAGCACCUGCGUGGUUUUAGCGAGUUGGGGGGGGAGCGGCUCACCAAGGCGAGGCCACAUAGCCGAGCUGAGAGGGUGAGCGGCCACACUGGGAAUGAGACACGGCCCAGACUCCUCCGGGAGGCAGCAGUAGGGAAUCUUUGGGAAUGGGCGGAAGUCUGAGCGAGAGACGUCGCGUGAGUGAAGAAGGGGUUCGCGUCGUAAAGAUCUGUUGUAUGGGAAGAAAGAGUGUGAGAGUGGAAAGUUCACACUGUGACGGUAACUUACCAGAAAGGGACCGCUAACUACGUG
This 495-nucleotide ribosomal RNA is filed under the name uncultured bacterium. Its description in RNAcentral is "partial 16S ribosomal RNA". It matches the Rfam family "Bacterial small subunit ribosomal RNA", at positions 28 to 507 of the family's 1533-position model. The record is from RNAcentral.